Long non-coding RNA from Pseudopipra pipra, 687 nucleotides. RefSeq lists it as uncharacterized. The transcript has 2 exons. The record is from RefSeq and is a predicted model, not a curated record. NCBI's taxonomy places the organism in Eukaryota, Metazoa, Chordata, Aves, Passeriformes, Pipridae.
GUGCCAUGUUGGAUGGUUAGAGGCUCUUCAGGAGGAAUAGGCAAGGCAGGUGAGGCUGGGGGGUGGCUUUUUAUGUAACGGAAGGGUUGGAGCUUAGAGUUGGCAAUGUCAUAGUUGAGAGCGUCUGGGCAGAUGUCAUCAUGGGAGUCUACUAUGGACUGCCUAGCUAGGACGAUGACACCGAUGACUUAUUCUAAGGAACUAAGAGAUACCUCUUAAUCAUCUGCCCUUGUCCUCAUGGGUGACUACAACUAACUAGAAAUUAACUGGGCUGGCACAAACAGACCCAGAAAAUUCCUAAAAGACCUCGAUGACAACUUCAUGGUACAUGUACUACGAGAGCCAACGAGGAAAGAAGCCCUCCUUGAUUUGUUGCUUGUUAACAGAGAGGGUCUCAUGAGUGAAAUGGAGAUUGGUGGCCUUCUUGGCCACUGCGACCACAAAGCAAUCAAGUUUAAAAUCUGUUGAUGGGAGGAAAAGUGCCAGCAAAAUUUCAACCCUGGACAUGAGGAGAGUAGACUUCAGGCUGCACAGGGAACUAAUGCUAAGCCUGAAACAGAGAUGAUUCAGAACAACAUGGAGGUAAUCUGUUUUUACAAGGAACUCUGUCUUCAUGAAUACACAUUUCUUUUAAAACAAGACCCAUGACAGAUGCCAGGUGGAAUGAUUAAAGCAGUGGGUGGAUUU